GGGGGGGGGGGGGGGGGGGGGGGGGGGGGGGGGGGGGGGGGAGCGGGGGGGGGGGGGGCGCCUCUGGGGGUGGCGGCGGGCGGGUGAGUAACGCGUGGGUAGCCUACCUAUAAGACUGGGAUAACUUCGGGAACCCGGAGCUAAUGCCGGGUGAUAUAUUGAACGGCAUGGUUCAAUAGUGAAAGACGGUUUUGCGGUCACUUCUAGCUGGAUCCGCGCCGCAUUAGCUAGUUGGUAAGGUAACGGCUUACCAAGGCAACGAUGCGUAGCCGACCUGAGAGGGUGAUCGGCCACACUGGAACUGAGACACGGUCCAGACUCCUACGGGAGGCAGCAGCAGGGAAUCUUCCGCAAUGGGCGAAAGCCUGACGGAGCAACGCCGCGUGAGUGAUGAAGGUCUUCGGAUCGUAAAACUCUGUUAUUAGGGAAGAACAAAUGUGUAAGUAACUAUGCACGUCUUGACGGUACCUAAUCAGAAAGCCACGGCUAACUACGUG
This 497-nucleotide ribosomal RNA is filed under the name uncultured bacterium. RNAcentral describes it as "partial 16S ribosomal RNA". It matches the Rfam family "Bacterial small subunit ribosomal RNA", at positions 39 to 507 of the family's 1533-position model. The record is from RNAcentral.